UAGGGAAUCUUCCACAAUGGACGCAAGUCUGAUGGAGCAACGCCGCGUGAGUGAAGAAGGUUUUCGGAUCGUAAAGCUCUGUUGUUGGUGAAGAAGGAUAGAGGCAGUAACUGGUCUUUAUUUGACGGUAAUCAACCAGAAAGUCACGGCUAACUACGUGCCAGCAGCCGCGGUAAUACGUAGGUGGCAAGCGUUGUCCGGAUUUAUUGGGCGUAAAGCGAGCGCAGGCGGAAUGAUAAGUCUGAUGUGAAAGCCCACGGCUCAACCGUGGAACUGCAUCGGAAACUGUCAUUCUUGAGUGCAGAAGAGGAGAGUGGAACUCCAUGUGUAGCGGUGGAAUGCGUAGAUAUAUGGAAGAACACCAGUGGCGAAGGCGGCUCUCUGGUCUGCAACUGACGCUGAGGCUCGAAAGCAUGGGUAGCGAACAGGAUUAGAUACCCUGGUAGUCCAUGCCGUAAACGAUGAGCGCUAGGUGUUGGGGACUUUCCGGUUCUCAGUGCCGCAGCAAACGCAUUAAGCGCUCCGCCUGGGGAGUACGACCGCAAGGUUGAAGC
Molecule: ribosomal RNA, 554 nt
Filed under: uncultured bacterium
Lineage: Bacteria
Description: partial 16S ribosomal RNA
Rfam family: Bacterial small subunit ribosomal RNA
Source: RNAcentral